RNAcentral lists this ribosomal RNA (458 nucleotides) under uncultured bacterium. RNAcentral's name for it is "partial 16S ribosomal RNA". It matches the Rfam family "Bacterial small subunit ribosomal RNA", at positions 338 to 795 of the family's 1533-position model. The record is from RNAcentral.
CCUACGGGAGGCAGCAGUGAGGAAUAUUGGUCAAUGGGCGCGAGCCUGAACCAGCCAAGUCGCGUGAGGGAUGACGGCCCUAUGGGUUGUAAACCUCUUUUGUCGGGGAGCAAAAGCCGGACGUGUCCGGCUGUGAGAGUACCCGAAGAAAAAGCAUCGGCUAACUCCGUUCCAGCAGCCGCGGUAAUACGGAGGAUGCGAGCGUUAUCCGGAUUUAUUGGGGUUAAAGGGUGCGCAGGCGGAUUUUUAAGUCAGCGGUAAAAUCGUGGGGCUCAACCCCAUCCAGCCGUUGAAACUGGGGAUCUAGAGUGUGCGAGAGGUAUGCGGAAUGCGUGGUGUAGCGGUGAAAUGCAUAGAUAUCACGCAGAACCCCGAUUGCGAAGGCAGCAUACCGGUGCACAACUGACGCUCAGGCACGAAAGCGUGGGUAUCGAACAGGAUUAGAUAUCCUAGUAGUC